Molecule: ribosomal RNA, 669 nt
Filed under: uncultured Staphylococcus sp.
Lineage: Bacteria; Bacillati; Bacillota; Bacilli; Caryophanales; Staphylococcaceae
Description: bacterial SSU rRNA
Rfam family: Bacterial small subunit ribosomal RNA
Source: RNAcentral
UCGAGCGAACGGACGAGAAGCUUGCUUCUCUGAUGUUAGCGGCGGACGGGUGAGUAACACGUGGAUAACCUACCUAUAAGACUGGGAUAACUUCGGGAAACCGGAGCUAAUACCGGAUAAUAUUUUGAACCGCAUGGUUCAAAAGUGAAAGACGGUCUUGCUGUCACUUAUAGAUGGAUCCGCGCUGCAUUAGCUAGUUGGUAAGGUAACGGCUUACCAAGGCAACGAUGCAUAGCCGACCUGAGAGGGUGAUCGGCCACACUGGAACUGAGACACGGUCCAGACUCCUACGGGAGGCAGCAGUAGGGAAUCUUCCGCAAUGGGCGAAAGCCUGACGGAGCAACGCCGCGUGAGUGAUGAAGGUCUUCGGAUCGUAAAACUCUGUUAUUAGGGAAGAACAUAUGUGUAAGUAACUGUGCACAUCUUGACGGUACCUAAUCAGAAAGCCACGGCUAACUACGUGCCAGCAGCCGCGGUAAUACGUAGGUGGCAAGCGUUAUCCGGAAUUAUUGGGCGUAAAGCGCGCGUAGGCGGUUUUUUAAGUCUGAUGUGAAAGCCCACGGCUCAACCGUGGAGGGUCAUUGGAAACUGGAAAACUUGAGUGCAGAAGAGGAAAGUGGAAUUCCAUGUGUAGCGGUGAAAUGCGCAGAGAUAUGGAGGAACACCAGU